RNAcentral lists this ribosomal RNA (440 nucleotides) under uncultured bacterium. Its description in RNAcentral is "partial 16S ribosomal RNA". It matches the Rfam family "Bacterial small subunit ribosomal RNA", at positions 338 to 795 of the family's 1533-position model. The record is from RNAcentral.
CCUACGGGAGGCAGCAGUGGGGGAUAUUGCACAAUGGGGGGAACCCUGAUGCAGCGACGCCGCGUGGGUGAAGAAGCGCCUCGGCGCGUAAAGCCCUGUCAGCAGGGAAGAAAAUGACGGUACCUGAAGAAGAAGCCCCGGCUAACUACGUGCCAGCAGCCGCGGUAAUACGUAGGGGGCAAGCGUUAUCCGGAUUUACUGGGUGGAAAGGGGGCGCAGACGGCGAUGCAAGCCAGGAGUGAAAGCCCGGGGCCCAACCCCGGGGCUGCUCUGGGAACUGCGUGGCUGGAGUGCAGGAGGGGCAGGCGGAAUUCCUGGUGUAGCGGUGAAAUGCGUAGAUAUCAGGAGGAACACCGGUGGCGAAGGCGGCCUGCUGGACUGCAACUGACGUUGAGGCCCGAAAGCGUGGGGAGCAAACAGGAUUAGAUACCCCUGUAGUC